AGAGUUGAUCCUGGCUCAGGAUGAACGCUAGCUACAGGCUUAACACAUGCAAGUCGAGGGGCAGCAUGAAGUUUGCUUGCAAACUUGAUGGCGACCGGCGCACGGGUGAGUAACGCGUAUCCAACCUUCCCUAUACUAGAGGAUAGCCCGGCGAAAGUCGGAUUAAUACUCUAUGUUCUUCGUAGAAGACAUCUGAAAUGAAGCAAAGGUUUACCGGUAUAGGAUGGGGAUGCGUCUGAUUAGGUGUUGGCGGGUAACGGCCCACCAAGCCCACGAUCAGUAGGGGUUCUGAGAGGAAGGUCCCCCACAUUGGAACUGAGACACGGUCCAAACUCCUACGGGAGGCAGCAGUGAGGAAUAUUGGUCAAUGGACGAGAGUCUGAACCAGCCAAGUAGCGUGCCAGGAUGACGGCCCUAUGGGUUGUAAACUGCUUUUAUACAGGGAUAAAGUUCACUACGUGUAGUGUUUUGUAGGUACUGUAUGAAUAAGGACCGGCUAAUUCCGUGCCAGCCGCAGC
RNAcentral lists this ribosomal RNA (518 nucleotides) under uncultured bacterium. Its description in RNAcentral is "bacterial SSU rRNA". It matches the Rfam family "Bacterial small subunit ribosomal RNA", at positions 8 to 518 of the family's 1533-position model. The record is from RNAcentral.